ACGUCAGCAGGCGGCGGCAGAACCCUCGCGUUUGAACCACAGCCGUGUAGCUGUGCGGUCUGUCGGCUUAUUGAGCUCGUGUUUGGGUGUGUGGUAGCGUCAGCUGAGCCUCCACGGUCGGAGACGCUCUUGGGGAACAAACAGCCGGCGGACACUCGGAGGUCUCAGUUUCUUCGGAGUUUUUUCUUUAUUUUUGUCGUUAAGGCUAACCUCGUUAGCUUAUGCCUGCGUCGUUACCAUGGUGACGCUCCGAGGCAGAGGGGACGCGGACCGGAGAAACGGGCCGAGCACGAGCACCGGGAACCCGGCACGAUCUGUGAUAAAGACCCGGAGGAGGAAGAAGGCUCCCCGGACUCAAGAGUCCGGACGGUCCGAUGUAUUUAAAUCUGAGGAUGAAGAGCAGAACCUCACUGAUUCUGAAACACCCGAGGACGAAGAUGAGAAAGCAGCGGGAACCGUCAUCAGGAAAUCUCAGCGGCUCCAGAAGCGUUCAGGUGGCCGGCUGAGGAGAAGCACGAGGCUGACCAAAGUGACGAGCAGGUACGAGGCCUCCAACAUGUUCGACGGCAUCAGCACCAACGCCGCCAGGUCGGUCUUGAACAGGAUGGACAGCAUGAAGAAGAAGAGGCGGCUCAGUAACAACACGGAAGGAAAGAUCUAUUCUAAAGCCCAGAGGAGUAAAACACCGGUCCCACUACGAGGAGAGCUCAGCGACAGCGAGGACAGCCGAGGGGCGGGCUUUGACGAGGACAGCAGGCAGGCCCUAACAGCAGAUGAAGACAGCAACUGCAGCAUCAGCCACAAUGUUGAUGCCAAACUGAGCCGAGCCUCGUCGCUGUACCAAGGCCCGACCAGCGACUUCCUGAGAGGAACCUUCCGGAUCAGCGCCUCAGGAGCAAACACGACCCACAGAGCAGCCUUCAGACCCACUAAGAGCGCCUGGUCCAAACAGUCUGAUGAAGACUCUGAUGAUGAAGAGGAGGAGGAGGCCCCUGACAGCUGUCUCCCACUCAGCCUGCGUACUGGCAACCUUUUGCGAACCCGCAACGACAAGAUGGCUGCAGGAGCGGGCCUGGCGGACAUCGAUCCCAUGGCCAUCGACCAAUCUGUGGGUUUUGACAGUAUUGGGGGUCUGUCAGGUCACAUCUCAGCUCUGAAGGAGAUGGUCGUCUUCCCCCUUCUCUACCCCGAGGUCUUUGACAACUUCAAGAUUCAGCCUCCCAGAGGGUGUCUGUUUUACGGCCCUCCCGGGACGGGGAAGACGCUGGUUGCACGGGCGCUGGCCAACGAGUGUAGCCAUGGCAACAGGAAGGUGUCCUUCUUCAUGAGGAAGGGAGCCGACGUCCUCAGCAAGUGGGUGGGCGAGUCAGAGCGGCAGCUGCGGCUGCUGUUUGAGCAGGCGUAUCAGAUGCGUCCGUCCAUCAUCUUCUUCGAUGAGAUCGACGGUCUGGCUCCGGUCCGAUCCAGCAGGCAGGACCAGAUCCACAGCUCCAUCGUGUCGACGCUCCUCGCUCUGAUGGACGGGCUCGACAGUCGAGGGGAGGUCGUCGUGAUCGGAGCCACAAACCGGCUCGACUCCAUCGACCCCGCGCUGCGGCGUCCCGGACGCUUCGACCGCGAAUUCCUGUUCGGCCUUCCCGACAGAGAGGCCCGUAAAGACAUUCUGAAGAUCCACACUCGGCAGUGGAAACCUCCUCCAUCUGAAGACUUUCUCGAUGAACUGUCAGAAAAAUGUGUCGGUUACUGUGGCGCUGAUAUCAGGGCGGUGUGCACUGAGGCGGCAUUGUGCGCUCUGCGCCGACGCUACCCGCAGAUCUACGGCACGUCCCAGAAGCUCCUGCUGGACGUCUCCUCCAUCGCCGUCAGCAGCUGCGACUUUGCGGCAGCCAUGAAGAAGAUGUCGCCUGCCUCGCACCGCUCUGCCGCCUCCCCGGCCAAACCUCUGUCCCCUGUGGUCCACCCGCUUCUAGGCAGCGCCCUGCAAGAAAUCCUUGGUGCCCUGCAGAGGAUGUUUCCACAUGCUGAGGAGGGCAUGAAGAGGAAGAGGGAGCCAGACCUGACCUCGGGUAUUCUCGACGACACUCUGAUGUUUGAAGAAGACGAGGGCCCCAGCAUCUCCAAACCCUCCAAGAACAAAAACUUCCUGCACUUCUUCAGGAGUGCCGUCAAACAGCCGACGUCUCACCGCCCCAGGAUCAUGCUGGCAGGUCGUCCUGGCGCCGGUCAAACCUCCCACCUGGCUCCCGCCAUCCUGCACGCUUUGGAGCGUUUCACCGUCCACAGCCUGGACUCAGCGGUGCUGUUUGGCGUUAGCAGCACCUCGCCAGAGGAAGCCUGUGCACAGGUAUUCUGUGAGGCCAAGCGGACGUCUCCCAGCAUUCUCUACAUCCCGCACAUCCAGCAGUGGUGGGACACUGCAGGGCCGGCCCUGAGGGCAUCCUUCCUCAGCCUGCUGGGCAGUAUCCCGUCCUUCUCUCCCAUCCUCCUCCUCGCCACCUGCAGCGUGUCCUUUCAGCAGCUGGACCCAGAGAUUCAGAGCCUGUUCCGGGAGGACUACGGGGAGGUCUGCGUCCUCAGAGUUCCCACCCAGCAGGAGAGGACCAGCUUCUUCCAGGAUCUCAUUCUGAACCAGGCGGCUGAGGCCCCUCCCUCCAAGAGAAAAACAUUAUCUCAGGCAAUGGAGGUCCUCCCCCUGGCUCCACCGCCUCCUCCUCACAAAAUGUCGGAGCAAGAGCGCCUCCACCUAGAGGAGCAGGAGGAGGACGUGCUGCGAGAGCUCCGUCUCUUCCUGCGAAACAUCACCGAGCGCCUGUCUCUGGACCGCCGCUUCAAAGCCUUCACCAAACCGGUCGACAUCGAGGAGGUCCCCGACUAUCUGAUGGUGAUUAAGAAGCCCAUGGACCUCUCCACCCUGCUCACCAACAUCGACGAACACAAGUACAUCACCAUCGGCGAGUUCAUGGCGGACGCUGACCUCAUCUGGAAGAACGCUCUCGAGUACAACCCUGACAGUGACCCCAUGGACCGCAACAUCCGUCACCGAGCAUGCGCCCUGAAGGACACGGUCCGCGCCAUCAUCAGAGAUGAGCUGGACGAAGACUUCGAGAGAGUCUGUGAGGAGAUCAGAGAGUCGCGCAUCCACAGAGCUCUGAUCGAGGCCAACCCGCAGGAGGCCGAUGGCGUCUGCGGCUCGGCGUUCUCCAGAAACGCUCUCCAACCUCGUAAGAAGAAACGUUACAGGCGGCCCCGAAAGUCCAAGUGGAGCACCGGCGUCAUUAAGAAACCCAAGAAGAAGAAGGAGGAGCCACCAGUCCCAUCCUCCUCCUCUUCCUCCUUCACCUCCCUCUCCUCCAUGUCCAGUAAGUUCAGCUCUGAGUCGAGUGUGGAGGAGGUCAGAGCUGCUGGACGGCGAGCGGUGAACGGGUCUGCUGGUGCUGGCUCAUCCAGCCCAUCAGAGAGCAGUGACGGCGGCCUGAGCGGGUUCCAUCGCACCCCAAACCGCAUCACGAGAGCCCACAACGGAGUCCUUACGAACGGGUAUCACCGCUACGCCGAGCCAGUUCAUCCCCAGCUGGCUGAUGGCGUACCUGCAGGCGUGCGUCGAACCCGCACAUCAAAGACGCCCCCAGGCCCGGAGACCGUGCUGAACGGCCAGAACGCGGACAGCUUAGAGAAGAGCAAACAGUCUGAGUCGAGGCCCAACAAGGCGACUUUGGAGCAGGUGUUGAUCCGGGACAGGCCGGAGCAGCAGGAAGAAACUCCACCGCUGAUCAUCGAUCGCAGCAAACUGAAGGAGCUCCUGAGGAGAACCGUGGCCAAGACGGAGGGUGCCGAGGUGGAGCCACUGGAGAAGCUUUAUGCCCGGCUCGCUCAGUGCAUCUACCGACACAGAGACGACUGCAACAAGGCAGAGCUGCUGCAGGAAAUGAAGACAGAAAUCGAUCGAUUCUCCUGACCUCCAGCAGCUCGACUUCAAUAAACCUCAAAGUGCUCAAACAAAGUCAUUGUUCGUUCGUCGGCAUUCGUUCAGUUUCUCCUCUCAGAACGCUGACAGACGCUUCCGCUUUAUGGAGGUUUCUUCAAAAUAAAGGACCGUCAUCUAUGCUGCCCUGACAGGAACGUCACACAGCUUUAGGAACGACGGUGCCAAGAAAGAGUGAUCAGACAUCCAGACUCAAGGAUUCAGAAGCUUGAUGGUGACCUAAAGCAUCGGGCCGAUGUUUAACUCACUCAGAGAUGUUUCUUAAAAUGUUACAGGACAUGUAUGUGUAUAUAUUUCAUGGUGUUUGCUGUACAGUCAUUCCACUCUGAAAAACAACAGUUCAAAGUUCAAAGAAGUCAAUAAAUGACCCCGAGAUUAUUCUGCA
Oreochromis niloticus (Nile tilapia) is the source of this 4367-nucleotide RNA transcript. It is a transcript of the gene named ATPase family AAA domain-containing protein 2, with no coding region annotated. Lineage: Eukaryota; Metazoa; Chordata; Actinopteri; Cichliformes; Cichlidae. The transcript is spliced from 29 exons. The record is from RefSeq and is a predicted model, not a curated record.